Leucoraja erinaceus (little skate) is the source of this 4636-nucleotide long non-coding RNA. RefSeq lists it as uncharacterized. Lineage: Eukaryota; Metazoa; Chordata; Chondrichthyes; Rajiformes; Rajidae. The record is from RefSeq and is a predicted model, not a curated record. The transcript is spliced from 2 exons.
GGCGAAACAAGCGAAAAUGUUUGGUGAAAUGGCCGCCUCGUCUACACAACUCUUAACCUGCAAAAGUUACAUCAGAACCAGAGAUGCAGGCAGUGAAGAAAGCGAAUGGUAUGUUAGCUUUCAUAGCAAAAGGAUUUGAGUAUAGGAGCAGGGAGGUUCUACUGCAGUUGUACAGGGUCUUGGUGAGACCACAUCUGGAGUAUCGCGUACAGUUUUGGUCUCCAAAUCUGAGGAAGGAGAUUAUUGCCAUAGAGGGAGUGCAGAGAAGGUUCACCACACUGAUUCCUGGGAUGACAGGACUGUCUUAUGAAGAAAGACUGGAUAGACUUGGUUUAUACGCUCUAGAAUUUAGGAGAUGGAGAGGGGAUCUUAUAGAAACUUACAACAUUCUUAAGGGGUUGGACAGGCUAGAUGCAGGAAGAUUGUUCCCGAUGUUGGGGAAGUCCAGGACAAGGGGUCACAGCUUAAGGAUAAGGGGGAAAUCCUUUAAAACCGAGAUGAGAAGAACUUUUUUCACACAGACAGUGGUGAAUAUCUGGAACUCUCUGCCACAGAGGGUAGUCGAGGCCAGUUCAUUGGCUAUAUUUAAGAGGGAGUUAGAUGUGGCCCUUGUGGUUAAGGGGAUCAGAGGGUAUGGAGAGAAGGCAGGUACGGGAUACCGAGUUGGAUGAUCAGCCAUGAUCAUAUUGAAUGGCGGUGCAGGCUCGAAGGGCCUAAUGGCCUACUCCUGCACCUAAUUUCUAUGUUUCUAUGUUUCAUUAAAGUGUCACACAGAAUCAAACAAUGUGAAAGGACCUAAGUAAAAGGAUUGAUGCUACGCAGCAUCUUGUUUACUGCUCAGGAUGUUUCCAGGAAUGGAAUAAUGGAGUGGAAUUAUGCUAAAAUAGAUCAUCAUUGCUUUAUUGUUUAGAUAUGUUAGUGAUGACACUGCUGUGUAAGGAACUUAGCAUGAGUCGCUGCCCUCUCCACUACUACACUGGGAACCUGAAUGAGGGCCUCAGCCCUUUCCUGGCUCUCCACAGCAAGGAAGUGGCUAAAGUGACAUAUGGUUCGGUCUGGAAUAAGCCAUGUUUGUCUGUAAGGGUUGGUAGUGGGUGAAAUGGAGAACUCAAGUAUCUUGUUAAGUUCCUGUUGUUCCCAGCCAAAUUAACUCAUUGUUGAAAAGAUAAGUAUUAAUUCCCAAUUUUGGUACCACUGAUGAAGCCGAAUUUUUAGUUAAAAAUAUAAGAAGAUAUUAAAUUGGCUGCUGGGCUAGCUUACAGCUUAUAUUUAGUGUCAAAUUAGGUUUGCCUUAGGUUGCGGUGUGUGUGAGAUAAUAAAUCCUAUAACAUUGUCUCCCAAGUGAGGAAGUGACAGAGAGGAAGAGAGACAUAGCUAGUCACAUCUUUGUAAACAAAUGGCCUAAGUUUUUGAGGGACCAAGUGACAGAGAGGAAGCAGCAAAAAGAGCUAGGGUGAUCUCUUUGGAGAUAAAAUAACCUAAAGCAAAUGGCCAAUGUAUUUAGUAUAUCUCAAACAAGGGGACAUGACAUGAGAAUUAAGGGACUGAAGUUUAGGGGGUAACAUGAGGGGGAACUUCUUUACUCAGAGAGUGGUAGCUGUGUGGAAUGAGCUUCCAGUGAAGGUGGUGGAGGCAGGUUCGUUUUUAUCAUUUAUAAAUAAAUUGGAUAGUUAUAUGGAUGGGAAGGGAAUGGAGGGUUAUGGUCUGAGCGCAGGUAUAUGGGACUAGGGGAGAUUAUGUGUUCGGCACGGACUAGAAGGGUCGAGAUGGCCUGUUUCCGUGCUGUAAUUGUUAUAUGGUUAUAUGGUUAUAUCUUGUACCAUGUAAACAAAAGGCCUUUGAUGUGAUGCAUUCUGUGGAAACCUUUUCCUGUACCUCUGACCAUGACUAAUGUCUGUGGAAUGUGCUAAGGGGACAAAAAAACCCUAUUUAAGGCAAUGUAAUUCUGUUGUUCAGAGAAGGUGGCUGAGCACAGUUAAGUGUCUACAUUGGUCACUUAGCUGGAAUUCUCGCUCCCUUCCAUCGGCCGAUGUUAAGUAAAGUUUUGAACUGGUCUACCAAACAGUUUGUGUGGUGUCUGUUUAUUAAGAAGCGAACCUGGUUUAGUAGUUAUAAAAGUAACUUUUUCACCACACCUGUUGAUCAUGUUUGUAUCCUCUCCAAUGCUUCCAUAUAAAGUCAUAUUUCUUUCCACAUAUGAAGCAGAAUCAAAACUCAGUAACUUUGAAAUUGUAAUUCCGCCUCUCCAGAAAUAAAUACUAACCUAUGUUGAGGACUAACUUCUUGACAACUAUGAUUAGGAGUGUAAGAUCCAGAGGCACUAUAAGAUAUUUGUGAUUGCAAAUGGCUGGAAUUGUUAAGUUUGUCUGGGUUAGGGGGUAUUAGCGACAGGAGAGGUUAUUCAGAAUUAAGAUUGUUUUCUCUCAAACGUCAGAGGUUUGCACUGAGACCUGAUAGAAGUAUAUAAAAUGAGUGGCAUAGAUCAGAUACAGUCAGAAUCUUUUUAAUCUGCAGAAUGGAAACAUCAAAUACUAGAGGGCAUAGCUUUAAGGUGUGGGCUGCAAAGUUUGAAUGUGAUGUGGAGGACAAUCUUUAGAGAUCUAUUUUUAUUUUAUUUUUUACACAGAGGGUGUUGAGUGCCUAAAAUGCACUGCCAAGGUUGGGGAUGAGAUAGAAACGAUAGUGGCAUUUAAGUGGCUCUUUGAUAGCACAUGAAUGUGCAGGGAAUGUAGGCACAGGUAAGCAAGAGAUGGUCUUGACAUCAUGUUUAACACAGACACUGUGGCCCAAAGGGUCUGUUCUUGUGCUGUACAGUUCUAUAAACAUGCUUACAGCAUGCAACAAUCAGACUACAAGAACAUGGAUUUGUUCUUUAACAAUAUUCAGUUUCAGCUUGAUUAAUAAAAGCUGGUUCUUCUCCGUGAUCAAUGGCAGUCGUUAUUUAGACCAACGUCAUUGAAAAUCUCCCUGGUGAUGAAACAGAAACAUAGAAAAUAGGUGCAGGAGGAGGCCAUUCGGCCCUUCGAGCCAGCACCGCCAUUCAUUGUGAUCAUGGCUGAUCGUCCCCUAUCAAUAACCCGUGCCUGCCUUCUCCACUAGCCCCUAGAGCUCUAUCUAACUAUCUCUUCAAUCCUUCCAGUGACUUGGCCACCACUGCCUUCAGUGGCAGGGAAUUCCAUUAAUUCACAACUCUCUGGGUGAAAAAGUUUUUUCUCACCUCAGUCUUAAAUGACCUCCCCUUUAUUCUAAGAUUGUGGCCCCUGGUUCUGGACUCGCCCAACAUUGGGAACAUUUUUCCUGCAUCUAGCUUGUCCAGUCCUUUUAUAAGUUUAUAUGUUUCAAUAAGAUCCCCCCUUAUCCUUCUAAACUCCAGUGAAUACAAGCCUAGUCUUUUCAAUCUUUCCUCAUACGACAGUCCCGCCAUGCCAGGGCUCAAUCUCGUGAACCUACGGUGCACUGCCUCAAUCACAAGGAUGUCCUUCCUCAAAUUAGGAGACCAAAACUGCACACAAUACUCUAGAUGUGGUCUCACCAGAGCCCUAUACAACUGCAGAAGAACCUAUUUACUCCUAUACUGAAAUCCUCUUGUUAUGAAGGUCAACAUUCCAUUAGCUUUCUUCACUGCCUGCUGUACCUGCACGCCAAGUUUCAGUGACCGUUGUACAAGGACGCCCAGGUCUCGCUGUACCUCCCCCUUACCCAACCUAAUCCCAGUGAGAUAAUAAUCUGCCCCCUUGUUUUUGCCACCAAAUUGAAUAACCUCACAUUUAUCUAUAUUAUACUGCAUCUGCCACGCAUCUGCCCACUCAACUUGUCCAGGUCACCAUGCAACCUCCUAACAUCCUCUUCACAGUUCACACUGUCACCCAGCUUUGUGUCAUCCGCAAACUUGCUAGAGUUGCUCCUAAUUCCCUCUUCCAAAUCAUUAAUAUGGUAAACAGUUGCGGCCCCAGCACUGAGCCUUGCGGCACUCCACUCGCCAUUAGCUAUCCUCCAAUCCACAGGAACUGAUCCUGAAUCUAUUGUACAUUGGAAAAUGAUCACCAAUGCGUCCACUAUUUCUAGAGCCACCUCCCCAAGGACCCUGGGAUGCAGACCAUCAGGCCCAGGGGAUUUAUCAUCCUUCAGUCCCAUUAGCCUACCCAAUACUAUUUCUCGCCUAAUGAAAAUGUCUUUCAGUUCCUCUGCCCCCUUCGAUCCUCUGUCCUCCAGUACAUCUGGGAGAUUGUUUGUGUCUUCCUUAGUGAAGACCGAUCCAAAGUACCUGUUCAACUCUUCUGCCAUUUCCUUGUUGCCCAUAAUAAUUUCACCCGUGUCUGCCUUCAAGGGACCCACAUUUGACUUUGCUACUCUUUUUCCCUUAACAUAUCUAAAGAAGCUUUUACUGUCCUUCUUUAUAUUCCUAGCCACCUUGUUUCCUUCUGUUGUAUGAAGGUUUCCCAAUCCUCUGGCUUCCGGCUACUCUUUGCUGUGUUAUACAUCUUUUCUUUUAGUUUUAUUCUAUCCGUAACUUCUCUUGUCAGCCACGGUUGCCUCCUACUCCCCUUAGAAUCUUUCUUCCUUUUUGGAAUGAAAUUAUCCUGCGUCUUCCAGAUUAUGCCCAGAAAUUCCUGCCGUUGUUGUUCCACCGUCAUUC